GGGGAAUAUUGGACAAUGGGCGAAAGCCUGAUCCAGCCAUGCCGCGUGUGUGAAGAAGGCCUUCGGAUUGUAAAGCACUUUAAGUUGGGAGGAAGGGCAGUUACCCAAUACGUAUCUGUUCUGACGUUACCGACAGAAUAAGCACCGGCUAACUCUGUGCCAGCAGCCGCGGUAAUACAGAGGGGGCAAGCGAUAAUCGGAAUUACUGGGUGUAACGCGCGCGUAGGCGGCUUGGUAAGCUCGAUGUG
Molecule: ribosomal RNA, 248 nt
Filed under: uncultured Pseudomonas sp.
Lineage: Bacteria; Pseudomonadati; Pseudomonadota; Gammaproteobacteria; Pseudomonadales; Pseudomonadaceae
Description: partial 16S ribosomal RNA
Rfam family: Bacterial small subunit ribosomal RNA
Source: RNAcentral